RNAcentral lists this ribosomal RNA (848 nucleotides) under uncultured marine group I thaumarchaeote. RNAcentral's name for it is "SSU rRNA". It matches the Rfam family "Archaeal small subunit ribosomal RNA", at positions 13 to 866 of the family's 1478-position model. The record is from RNAcentral. Lineage: Archaea; Thermoproteati; Nitrososphaerota.
CCUGCCGGACCUGACUGCUAUCGGAUUGAUACUAAGCCAUGCGAGUCUUUGUAGUAAUACAAGGCAGACGGCUCAGUAACACGUAGUCAACCUACCCUAUGGACGAGAAUAAUCUCGGGAAACUGAGCAUAAUUCUUGAUAGAUCAUAAUGCCUGGAAUGGUUUAUGGUUAAAAUGAUUCGUCGCCAUAGGAUGGGACUGCGGCCUAUCAGCUUGUUGGUGAGGUAAUGGCCCACCAAGGCGAUUACAGGUACGGGCUCUGAGAGGAGAAGCCCGGAGAUGGGUACUGAGACACGGACCCAGGCCCUAUGGGGCGCAGCAGGCGAGAAAACUUUGCAAUGUGCGAAAGCACGGCAAGGUUAAUCCGAGUGAUUUCUGCUAAAGAAAUCUUUUGCCAGUCGUAAAACCGCUGGUGAAUAAGGGGUGGGCAAGUUCUGGUGUCAGCCGCCGCGGUAAAACCAGCACCUCAAGUGGUCAGGAUGAUUAUUGGGCCUAAAGCAUCCGUAGCCGGCUUUGUAAGUUUUCGGUUAAAUCCAUGUGCUCAACGCAUGGGCUGCCGAAAAUACUGCAUAGCUAGGGAGUGGGAGAGGUAGACGGUACUCAGUAGGUAGGGGUAAAAUCCUUUGAUCUAUUGAUGACCACCUGUGGCGAAGGCGGUCUACCAGAACACGUUCGACGGUGAGGGAUGAAAGCUGGGGGAGCAAACCGGAUUAGAUACCCGGGUAGUCCCAGCUGUAAACGAUGCAGACUAGAUGAUGCAUUGGCAUAAUAGCCAUUGCAGUGUCUCAGGGAAGCCGUUAAGUCUGCCGCCUGGGAAGUACGUACGCAAGUAUGAAACUUAAAGGAAUU